UGAGGAAUAUUGGUCAAUGGGCGGGAGCCUGAACCAGCCAAGUCGCGUGAGGGAAGACGGUCCUAUGGAUUGUAAACCUCUUUUGUCGGGGAGCAAAGAGGCCACGUGUGGUCAAAGCGAGAGUACCCGAAGAAAAGCAUCGGCUAACUCCGUGCC
This 156-nucleotide ribosomal RNA is filed under the name uncultured bacterium. RNAcentral's name for it is "partial 16S ribosomal RNA". It matches the Rfam family "Bacterial small subunit ribosomal RNA", at positions 355 to 509 of the family's 1533-position model. The record is from RNAcentral.